This 440-nucleotide ribosomal RNA is filed under the name uncultured bacterium. RNAcentral's name for it is "partial 16S ribosomal RNA". It matches the Rfam family "Bacterial small subunit ribosomal RNA", at positions 338 to 795 of the family's 1533-position model. The record is from RNAcentral.
CCUACGGGCGGCAGCAGUGGGGAAUAUUGCACAAUGGGGGAAACCCUGAUGCAGCGACGCCGCGUGAGUGAAGAAGUAAUUCGUUAUGUAAAGCUCUAUCAGCAGGGAAGAAAAUGACGGUACCUGAGUAAGAAGCCCCGGCUAACUACGUGCCAGCAGCCGCGGUAACACGUAGGGGGCAAGCGUUAUACGGAUUUACUGGGUGUAAAGGGAGCGUAGGUGGCAGUGCAAGUCUGGAGUUAAAGGGGGUGGCUCAACCCCAGGACUGCUUUGGAAACUGUACGGCUUGAGUGCGGGAGAGGUAUGUGGAAUUCCUAGUGUAGCGGUGAAAUGCGUAGAUAUUAGGAGGAACACCAGUGGCGAAGGCGGCUUACUGGACUGUAACUGACGUUGAGGCUCGAAAGCGUGGGGAGCAAACAGGAUUAGAUACCCUUGUAGUC